AGAGUUUGAUCAUGGCUCAGAUUGAACGCUGGCGGCAUGCCUAAGACAUGCAAGUCGAACGGCAGCACAGCAGAGCUUGCUCUGUGGGUGGCGAGUGGCGGACGGGUGAGUAAUGCAUCGGGACCUACCUGAACGUGGGGGAUAACGUAGGGAAACUUACGCUAAUACCGCAUACGUCCUACGGGAGAAAGCGGGGGACCUUCGGGACCUCGCGCGGUCRGAYGGACCGAUGUUCGAUUAGCUAGUUGGUAGAGGUAAUGGCUUACCAAGGCGACGAUCGAUAGCUGGUCUGAGAGGAUGAUCAGCCACACUGGRACUGAGACACGGYCCAGACUCCUACGGGAGGCAGCAGUGGGGAAUAUUGGACAAUGGGCGCAAGCCUGAUCCAGCAAUGCCGCGUGUGUGAAGAAGGCCUUCGGGUUGUAAAGCACUUUUAUCGGGAACGAAAUACCVCGGGUUAAUA
Molecule: ribosomal RNA, 463 nt
Filed under: uncultured bacterium
Lineage: Bacteria
Description: bacterial SSU rRNA
Rfam family: Bacterial small subunit ribosomal RNA
Source: RNAcentral